RNAcentral lists this ribosomal RNA (429 nucleotides) under Bacteroidota bacterium. RNAcentral describes it as "Bacteroidetes bacterium partial 16S ribosomal RNA". It matches the Rfam family "Bacterial small subunit ribosomal RNA", at positions 355 to 776 of the family's 1533-position model. The record is from RNAcentral. Lineage: Bacteria; Pseudomonadati; Bacteroidota.
UAGGGAAUCUUCCGCAAUGGACGCAAGUCUGACGGAGCAACGCCGCGUGAGUGAAGAAGGAUUUCGGUUCGUAAAACUCUGUUGUUAGAGAAGAACAGCGCAUAGAGUAACUGUUAUGCGUGUGACGGUAUCUAACCAGAAAGCCACGGCUAACUACGUGCCAGCAGCCGCGGUAAUACGUAGGUGGCAAGCGUUGUCCGGAUCUAUUGGGCGUAAAGCGAGCGCAGGCGGUCAAUUAAGUCUGAUGUGAAAGCCCCCGGCUCAACCGGGGAGGGUCAUUGGAAACUGGUUGACUUGAGUGCAGAAGAGGAGAGUGGAAUUCCAUGUGUAGCAGUGAAAUGCGUAGAUAUAUGGAGGAACACCAGUGGCGAAGGCGACUCUCUGGUCUGUAACUGACGCUGAGGUUCGAAAGCGUGGGUAGCAAACAGG